RNAcentral lists this ribosomal RNA (253 nucleotides) under uncultured bacterium. Its description in RNAcentral is "partial 16S ribosomal RNA". It matches the Rfam family "Bacterial small subunit ribosomal RNA", at positions 524 to 776 of the family's 1533-position model. The record is from RNAcentral.
UACGAGAGGCCCAAACGUUAUUCGGAAUUACUGGGCUUAAAGAGUUCGUAGGCGGCAUGGAAAGCAGGGUGUGAAAGCCCUCGGCUCAACCAAGGAAUUGCGCUCUGAACUGUCGUGCUUGAGGAACCUAGAGGUGAGCAGAACAGAUGGUGGAGCGGUGAAAUGCGUUGAUAUCAGCUGGAAUACCGGAGGCGAAGGCGGCUCACUGGGGGUUUUCUGACGCUGAGGAACGAAAGCCAGGGUAGCGAACGGG